RNAcentral lists this ribosomal RNA (488 nucleotides) under uncultured bacterium. RNAcentral describes it as "partial 16S ribosomal RNA". It matches the Rfam family "Bacterial small subunit ribosomal RNA", at positions 355 to 859 of the family's 1533-position model. The record is from RNAcentral.
UGGGGAAUAUUGCACAAUGGGCGAAGGCCUGAUGCAGCAACGCCGCGUGAGUGAUGAAGGUCUUCGGAUUGUAAAGCUCUGUCUUUUGGGACGAUAAUGACGGUACCAAAGGAGGAAGCCACGGCUAACUACGUGCCAGCAGCCGCGGUAAUACGUAGGUGGCGAGCGUUGUCCGGAUUUACUGGGCGUAAAGGGUGCGUAGGCGGAUGUUUAAGUGAGAUGUGAAAUACCCGGGCUUAACUUGGGUGCUGCAUUUCAAACUGGAUAUCUAGAGUGCAGGAGAGGAGAAUGGAAUUCCUAGUGUAGCGGUGAAAUGCGUAGAGAUUAGGAAGAACACCAGUGGCGAAGGCGAUUCUCUGGACUGUAACUGACGCUGAGGCACGAAAGCGUGGGUAGCAAACAGGAUUAGAUACCCUGGUAGUCCACGCCGUAAACGAUGAGUACUAGGUGUAGGAGGUAUCGACCCCUUCUGUGCCGCAGUAAACACA